CGGUUCCAGACCCGUGCAGCGUGGGGGAUGGACGCUGCAGGCCUCACCCUGAAGCUGCUUCUGGUCGGAGACAGCGCCGUGGGGAAGUCCAGCCUCCUGCUGAGGUUCACUGAUGGUGCGUUUGAGCCGUGCCUGAAACCCACCAUCGGUGUUGAUUUUAAAGUGAAGAAAAUGGUGGUAGACGGCCAUGCAGUACAGCUUGCAAUAUGGGACACAGCAGGACAGGAGCGCUUUAGAACACUGACUCCCAGUUAUUACCGAGGAGCUCAAGGGGUUGUUUUAGUGUAUGAUGUUACAAGAAAAGACACUUUCGCAGGACUAGAGAGCUGGCUGAAUGAGCUGGAAAUGUAUACCACCAAAAGCAACACUGUGAAGAUGUUAGUUGGCAAUAAAACUGAUAAGCCUGAUCGUGAAGUAGACAGAAGAGAAGGACUCCAGUUUGCUAGGAAACGCUCGCUGCUUUUUAUAGGUAUAACUGCAAACAGAGCACGGACACAAGAAAAUAAGACUAGGAAGUCAAGUUCAGAAGAUGGGAGGCCAUGGCAACUGUAACAAAGCCAUAAAACCAGGUGGGAAGGCUAGGAAGGAAACAAUCAUGAGAAGGAGGAUCAAAAGCGGAUUGGCCAGAUUGAAAGAGAUAAUAAGAAGUUCUUGGAAGGGCUAGCUGAGAUACAACAAAGGACAGGGAGGGUGGACUGUUGGAAUGAACCCUUUCAGAGGAGCUCAAAUAGAGGCAAGCAGAACAGGAAAAUAAUGAACGUCACUUGUGGAAAACCAAGGUAUUUUGAAGAGGCUUGUUGACUGUAAGCCUACCUACAAUCAAAAGAAUUGAGACUGGUUGUCAGGGAUGUACUUUAAUUUUUGUUUUGUAUAAAUAUUAUUUUAUUAUAACUUCAAACUAAAUAGUGUUGGGAUGCUUUUAAAAUUAUAGCUAUUUAGUUAACUGUAUAUUGAACUAGAAAAAACUAUACCUUAAAAAAAAUCUGAAAGUAAUAAACUGUUAGGUAAUUAGAAAAGGGAGCAAGGGAAGCAUUUUCUAGAACAAAAUUAAGUUAGAAAUUUGAGUUGAAGGGCUGCCUAUAUGAAAAAAAGCAUGUGUUGUCUUAGUAAUAAUGGCUGCUUUGCUGGAGUUGUGUUUUGUUGCUAUUUUAUUCUGAUAUUCUCAAUAAAUAUUACCAGUAUUUUAGUAUAAAGAAAAUGUGCCAGUAAUUACAUU
RNA transcript from Gymnogyps californianus (California condor), 1216 nucleotides. It is a transcript of the gene named ras-related protein Rab-18-B-like, with no coding region annotated. NCBI's taxonomy places the organism in Eukaryota, Metazoa, Chordata, Aves, Accipitriformes, Cathartidae. The record is from RefSeq and is a predicted model, not a curated record. The transcript is spliced from 9 exons.